Molecule: non-coding RNA, 24 nt
Filed under: Arabidopsis thaliana (thale cress)
Lineage: Eukaryota; Viridiplantae; Streptophyta; Magnoliopsida; Brassicales; Brassicaceae
Source: RNAcentral
AGGUCUUUACAUGUUUGAGAUGCA